AACACUUCAUGACUGAGAGCUGCUACAGCAACUUCUUCACCCACAGCAGCCAUGACUUUAAUCCCCAUCUUCAUCUGGACCCUGAUCUUCUGCUCUCAAGAGUCCAUAGGUCAGGUGACUGUGACUCAGAGUCCUGCAGUGAAAUCUGCUCUUCCAGGAGACACCGUCACCAUCAGCUGCAGGACCAGUCCUGCUGUUUACAGUAACGAUCGCUUACACUGGUAUCAGCAGAAACCUGGAGAAGCUCCUAAACUCCUGAUUAAAGUUGUGAAUCAGCUUCAGUCUGGUUUUGCAGUUCGUUUCAGUGGUAGUGGAUCUGGAUCUGACUUCACUCUGACCAUCAGUGGAGUCCAGCCUGAAGACACACACACACAUACACACACACACACACACAAAUUCACUACUAAUGAUAAAUGA
Non-coding RNA from Astyanax mexicanus (Mexican tetra), 417 nucleotides. NCBI's taxonomy places the organism in Eukaryota, Metazoa, Chordata, Actinopteri, Characiformes, Acestrorhamphidae. The record is from the annotation of a RefSeq genome assembly.